CAAACCUCACCUUAUUUCAUGAUGGUUAGUACAGAAACCUGAAACAUGCCAAAAAAUAGAGGGAUCAUUUGAGAUAACACAGUUACAGAUUAGAGAGAGAUUAUUCUUCAUAGGGAAAAACACAUAUGUUUCUCUAGUGUACACCAUAAUUGCAUACUAAGCCUUCUUUCCUCACCUCAUAUCCAUCAAAUUUUGAGUCCCACAUACUCAAGCCGAGAACAAUACAAACCCAGGCCUGAGCGCUCACCUAAAAAAUAGCACAAAGAACAAGCGAUUAGAUUUCAAAAAACACAUUCCAAAUAAGCAUCACGAACAAUUAACUUCAGAACUCCAAAUGUAUCCCGUCUCCAUCAUUCAUCUAUUUAGAUUGACCAUGCAUACUCGAUACGAAAGCGAUCUAAAAGAGGAGGAGACCAAUCCCUACGGCACGUACGCCUCCCCCUGAUCAUCCUCCACCGCACCCUUCUGC
This 469-nucleotide long non-coding RNA is filed under the name Triticum aestivum (bread wheat). Its description in RNAcentral is "long non-coding RNA (TAES_LNC014318)". The record is from RNAcentral. Lineage: Eukaryota; Viridiplantae; Streptophyta; Magnoliopsida; Poales; Poaceae.